UUGAAAAGCGGUCUAUAAAUAUUUGCCACAUUCGUAUUUGUAAUCAGUGGCUCCAAAAUUACCUCCAAAAUUACCUCUGUUCUUAAUCAUCAUAUCCCUAUUCGUAGGAGUUGCUCUGAAGCAGGGUUUCCCAACCCUGUGGUCCUCCAGAUGUUGCUGAACUACAACUCCCAUAAUCCUCAGCCAUCAUCACUAGUAGCCAGAGAAGAUGGGAGUUGUAGUUCAGUCACAUUUGGAGGGCCACAGGUUGGGAACCCCUGCUCUAAAGGAUUAUUUAAUUUUUCUAGAACUACUCAGAAGUAACUUAGCCGGGCUGCCAGCCACCGGGAGCAAAGAGUGGCUCAGACUCACUCCUUUAUCAAAUGGCUCACUCCAGGAGCAAAUUUGUCAGUUGCUAAGGCUACUGCAGACUGCUUAUUAGCGGCAGUGAUGCUUCUGGUUGAGGAAGUUUGCUGCCACACAAAUUGAAACUUUAAAAGACCCAGCAUGCCUUUGCAGCUGCGUCUCUCAUCUGUCCUCAUUUUAAAAUCCUUGCCAGGCGCCACGGAAAACAAUUUAUUUCUGGGGUGUGAUUCAGGUUCCUGUUUUGCAUCUUGGGCCUCAGAGCCAGUGCUCAGGGAUUCAUUAGAACUUGUGACAAAAAGCUGCUCAGGUAGUUAAGUCUCUGCCAAAUGGUCCGCAUCCUAACUUCCUGCAUAACCAUCUUUUUUUCUCUUUUUGCCGUCCUGAAAAAUCAGCAGAUCUCUUCUCUAGUCAUUUAAGAGAGAGAGGCGAUGAAGAAAUGCCAUCUAGAAUCCUCGCGUAUCUUGAUCAAAACCAACAGAGUUUCAGCCUUGGAAGAUUUCUCCUCAUCCGAACCCUGUUAGCAAUUUAAAAUCCAACCUGUGCCCAAGGAUGGAUUGGUCCCAGCAGGAUGGUUGGGCCAAGAGGAGAUCACAGAAGAGGAUGAGAUCACAGAAGAGGAUAAUUGUGCAAAGAGGAUGAGAUCACAGAAAAGGAUAAUUGUGCAAAUAGCUUCAUCCACUCAUGUAGUGAUCACAUCUUCUGAAUGGAAAGCAGCCUUCAGUGCUGAUCAAGUGCUUACUGAACUUAAACCUUACAUAACUAAUGGGUGGCCAUACAAAAACCAGGUACCUGAACAUCUUCAGCCAUGCAUGCACAUUGUGAGUGAAUUGUCCCUUCUCAAUGAGUUGGUGCUGAGGACUGAUCGUUUGGUGGUGCCAAACUCCUUACAAGCAAAAGUGAUCAAAAUUGCCAUGAAGGUCACCUGGGCAUGAGCUUGACUAAAAGGCGAAUCAGAGAAAGUUUCUAGUGGCCAGAUAUGGACAAACACAUUGAAGAAGAUGUAAUUAGGCACUGCAUGGCUUGUGCCGUAUCUGACAAAUCUCAGAAGACUUUUCCCACCCCAUUGACUCCAUUAGAAUAUCCCAAUGGUUCCUGGAAAAACUUGCUCUGGAUAUAAUGGGGACUUUUGAUAAACAAUCCACAAAACAAAGAUUUGUUAUAGUGAUGGUGGAUUACUAUUCCAAGUGGCAAGAAGUUUCAUUUGUUGACAACAUUACUGCAAACAAGGUGAUCCAGUUCAUGGCUGCAGUUUUUGCAAGAGAAGGUCUAGUGACUGACAAUGGGACACAGUUUACUUUAUUUGAAAUUGAGUAAUACUUGCAUGGCCAUGAGCUAAAACACAAGACUCUUUCCUUGUACCACCCUCGAGGCAAUGGCUGUGAAGAGAAUGAACCGGUUAGCGAAGGAAAGUUUACAACUGGCUACUAUGCAACCUUGGAAAGAGGCAAUCCAUCAAACUUUAUUUGCUUAUUCAACUACUCCUCAUUCUACUACAGGAAAAUCACCAUUUGAACUAUUGAGAGGAUGCAAAGCUACCACCAAAUUUACCCAAUGGCAACAACUGAUAGGGCUUUCCAUGUCAUCUCACCCUGAGGAUGCAAAGGUUCAUGAUUGGGUAAGGGAGAAGCAACAAAAAUAGAAAUUGUAUGUGGAUCAGAAAUGGGGAGUGAAACAGCGAUUAUUUCAGGUAGGGGACUUUGUUUGAGUAUGGUUGCCUUAUAAAGUGAGAAAGGGAUGUUCCUGAUAUCCUGGACUAAAACAAACAAUUGAAAUCCAAGGAGAUACUGUCCUAUUGGAUGAUGGAAAGAAAUGGAACAGUUUGAAACUUUCAAGCAUGCAUGCUAUGAGAAAAGAGGGAAGGGAGUCUGAUCUCAAGAGAGGAACUGAAGAAGAAUUUGAUCAUGCCUCUAGUUCUGACCUCAGAUGAGGCUGAUGAAAGUGAUGGAUAAUCCUCUGUACCAGAAGAAAAACCACAAAGCUCCUGUGUCAGCAGAGACCCCAAGAAAUAGGAGAAGUGUGUGUGACAGGAGUCCAUCUCAAAGACUUCAAGACUUUGUCACUGAAUUUUAAAUCAGUUCAAUUCAAUUGUUAUGAAGGGGAGGGGUGCGUUGUAUUUUAUCUUGUAGGCUUUUAUGUUUUGUGAUUUUAGAAGUUUGUUCCAGUGGGGAUUCUGUAGAGAGUGUGGUGGAUGGAGUCAGAAAGAAAAAGGAGAGAAAGGAGGACGAGAAAAAUAAAGUUGCUUUUGAAUAAAGGCUCA
Hemicordylus capensis (graceful crag lizard) is the source of this 2602-nucleotide long non-coding RNA. RefSeq lists it as uncharacterized. Lineage: Eukaryota; Metazoa; Chordata; Lepidosauria; Squamata; Cordylidae. The record is from RefSeq and is a predicted model, not a curated record. The transcript is spliced from 2 exons.